GAGUUUGAUCCUGGCUCAGAACGAACGCUGGCGGCGUGGAUAAGACAUGCAAGUCGAACGGGACAGUUUUGUAGCAAUACCGAACUGUUCAGUGGCGAACGGGUGCGUAACACGUGGAUAACAUACCGGAAAGCGAGGAAUAGCCCAGGGAAACUUGGAUUAAUACCUCAUGUGGUCGCAAGACUAAAGGCGGGGCAACCUGUCGCUUUCUGAUUGGUCCGCGGCCUAUCAGCUAGUUGGCGGGGUAACGGCCCACCAAGGCGACGACGGGUAGCUGGUCUGAGAGGAUGACCAGCCACACUGGAACUGAGACACGGUCCAGACACCUACGGGUGGCAGCAGUCGAGAAUCAUUCACAAUGGGGGAAACCCUGAUGGUGCGACGCCGCGUGGAGGAUAAGGUCUUCGGAUUGUAAACUCCUGUCAUGCGAGAGCAAGAUUUGUGCAGGUAACUCUGCUGAAUUUGAUAGUAUCGCAAGAGGAAGAGACGGCUAACUCUGUGCCAGCAGCCGCGGUAAUACAGAGGUCUCAAGCGUUGUUCGGAAUCACUGGGCGUAAAGGGUGCGUAGGUGGCGUGGAAAGUCAGAUGUGAAAUCCGGGGGCUCAACCUCCGAAUAGCAUCCGAUACUCCCAUGCUAGAGAACUGGAGGGGGAUCUGGAAUUCUCGGUGUAGCAGUGAAAUGCGUAGAUAUCGAGAGGAACACUAGUGGCGAAGGCGAGAUCCUGGACAGUAUCUGACACUGAUGCACGA
RNAcentral lists this ribosomal RNA (750 nucleotides) under Verrucomicrobium sp. MS229b. RNAcentral's name for it is "bacterial SSU rRNA". It matches the Rfam family "Bacterial small subunit ribosomal RNA", at positions 9 to 756 of the family's 1533-position model. Lineage: Bacteria; Pseudomonadati; Verrucomicrobiota; Verrucomicrobiia; Verrucomicrobiales; Verrucomicrobiaceae. The record is from RNAcentral.